GCUCAUAGUCCGGAGGCACAAUGACAUUCUGAAGAAGCUGAUGCAGUCAGCUGAAGCCUCCGGAUUCCAUCUUGUACAUGAGCCCGUGAUCCGGCUGGAAGGGGAAACCCUGAAACCGGAUCUGCUCCUCACACGAGAAGACUCCUGCUGGGUCUUAGAUGUGGCCAUUCCCUGGGAGACUAACGACGCUCUAAGUCGACGCCACGCCGAAAAGUGCCGAAAAUACGAGCGCCUGAAGGAGGCAGUGUGCAAGCUGACGGGCGCGAAGCAAUUCGGCACUGGUGCCAUAAUCAUCGGAGCUCGGGGCGGCUGGUGCACCCAAAAUGAUGCUACGCUCAAGAAACUGCAAUGGAACAUGAGCGAAAAGUUCCAGGCGCUCCUCUGUACAAUGGCCCUUGAAAGGACCAUACAAAUUGUGAAUUGGUUCAUGAGGAGCUCCACGCAACCGGCAUUCCGAAGUGAUCGUCGGGGGCGGAACGCAUAAUACCGGACUUGACUGAAACCCAACCUGGACGCGCCACGGAGUCGCCCGCUCCAUUAAUGUGGCUUCACCAACAGGGGCACCGGACAACAUUGAUGCAGCACGACUCGGCCUACAUGUCCGGCCCGAGUCAGAGCAAAAAGCGAGCAAUCAAGACGCUACCGCCAAGUAGCACAUCCUACAAUCACGCUCGCCAAAGCACUUUCUCGUCAUCUUUCUUUUGUGAUUUAUUUGCCCAUAUAUAUGCACGUCUUUGUUGUUCGCCGCUGCACGAACACUUACACAUUCUGUUCAUGCCUUAUUUCACUAUUAGCUUCGGUUUUUUGAGUUGCAGCAGCUUAUGUUCUUUCCGUUGGUAUCGCAAGCCUUACAUAUUGUAAAAAUUGCAAAUAAACUUGACUAGCCAAAUGCCUCGUCAUCUAAUUAGUGACGCGCAUGAAUGGAUCAACAAGAUUCCUACCGUCCCUAUCUACUGUCUAGCGAAACCACAGCCAAGGGAACGGGCUUGGCAGAAUCAGCGGGGAAAGAAGACCCUGUUGAGCUUGACUCUAGUCUGACUCUGUGAACAGACAUUGAAGGUGUAGCACAGGUGGGAGACCGGUGGCCGUUCGCGGUACCGUGCCGACAGUGAAAUACCACUACUUUGAUGCAGCACGACUCGGCCUACAUGUCCGGCCCGAGUCAGAGCAAAAAGUGAGCAAUCAAAGCGCUGCAGCUAAGCAGCACAUCAUACAACCACGCUCGCUGAAGCAAUUUCUCGUCAUCUUUAUUUCGAGACUUAUUCAUUUACAUAUAUAUAUACUUUUCGUUGUUUGCUGCUGUGCGAACACUUACACUUUGUGUUUAUGGCUUAUUUCGUUACUAGCCUCGGUUUUUUGAGUUACAGCAGUUUAUGUUUCUUCGUUGGCCUCGCAAGCCUUACAUAUUGUAAAAAUUGCAAAUAAAUUUGAAUAGCCAAAUGCCUCGUCAUCUAAUUAGUGACGCGCAUGAAUGGAUCAACAAGAUUCCUACUGUCCCUAUCUACUGUCUAGCGAAACCACAGCCAAGGGAACGGGCUUGGCAGAAUCAGCGG
Non-coding RNA from Trichuris trichiura (human whipworm), 1553 nucleotides. The record is from Rfam. NCBI's taxonomy places the organism in Eukaryota, Metazoa, Nematoda, Enoplea, Trichinellida, Trichuridae.